RNAcentral lists this ribosomal RNA (253 nucleotides) under uncultured bacterium. Its description in RNAcentral is "partial 16S ribosomal RNA". It matches the Rfam family "Bacterial small subunit ribosomal RNA", at positions 524 to 776 of the family's 1533-position model. RNAcentral also lists the same sequence under 2 other names. The record is from RNAcentral.
UACGGAGGGAGCUAGCGUUGUUCGGAAUUACUGGGCGUAAAGCGCACGUAGGCGGCUACUCAAGUCGGGGGUGAAAGCCCGGGGCUCAACCCCGGAACUGCCCUCGAAACUAGGUAGCUAGAAUCUUGGAGAGGUCAGUGGAAUUCCGAGUGUAGAGGUGAAAUUCGUAGAUAUUCGGAAGAACACCAGUGGCGAAGGCGACUGACUGGACAAGUAUUGACGCUGAGGUGCGAAAGCGUGGGGAGCAAACAGG